AAAGCUCAAAUUUAAAAUCUGGCAGUCUUCGAUUGUCCGAGUUGUAAUUUAGAGAAGUGUUGCCCGCGUUGGUCCGUGUACAAGUUUCCUGGAAUGGAACGUCAUAGAGGGUGAGAAUCCCGUCUUUGACACGGAUCCCAGUGCAUUGUGGUACGCUCUCGAAGAGUCGAGUUGUUUGGGAAUGCAGCUCUAAAUGGGUGGUAAAUUCCAUCUAAAGCUAAAUAUUGGGGAGAGACCGAUAGCGAA
This 246-nucleotide ribosomal RNA is filed under the name Marasmiaceae sp. 3 CRJH-2017. Its description in RNAcentral is "partial 28S ribosomal RNA". It matches the Rfam family "Eukaryotic large subunit ribosomal RNA", at positions 104 to 344 of the family's 3401-position model. Lineage: Eukaryota; Fungi; Basidiomycota; Agaricomycetes; Agaricales; Marasmiaceae. The record is from RNAcentral.